RNAcentral lists this unclassified non-coding RNA (485 nucleotides) under Hevea brasiliensis (rubber tree). The record is from RNAcentral. Lineage: Eukaryota; Viridiplantae; Streptophyta; Magnoliopsida; Malpighiales; Euphorbiaceae.
UUUUAGAAGUGGACAGUCCCUAAUACUGAAUCUUCCAAGUGUAGGAGGCAAGCCUUUCCUUGGUAAAGAAUGAAGCCUAGGACAAUUAACAAUCUCUAGCUCUUCUAGAGAUGUGAGACUUCGCAGCUGCACGGAUAGGGAUUCCAGAUUUGGGAGUUCUCCAAUAUAAAUAGAUAUUAAAGAUGUAGGCAGCAGACACUUCUCAUUUGGAAAGGAAACAGCAUUUUUGAAGCAUCCACCUGCGAUGCUUAAAUCUCUAAGACAGGUUAGAUUGUGUAAGUUCCACUCUGACAUCGUCAAUUCAAAAUUUCCAGAAUCCCAAAUUUCAAGGGAUGUUAGAUUCGGAAGCAAAUCCCCUUUUGGAAAACAUGCAAGACCAGGACAGCUGCAUAUUGACAGUUCUUGAAGAGAUGUUAGGUUUCCCAUCUGACUAGGUAGAGAUUUCAGAUAGAAGCAAUAGAAGAUAUUCAAUGUUCUGAGGUUGG